CAUUAAGGCAGACAUUUUAUUCAAAACUAUUUAAGAAGACAUAAUAUUUUUUCAAAAUUUAUUAAAAGGAAAAUUCUGUUUUUCUCAAGAAGGCAGCCUCUACAUGACAGGGUUUUCACUGGAUGCAAACCCUCCUCAAAAACCUAUGCCUAAGCCCCUAGAAAAAUUCUCGCCGCCUUCUGUGGCUAUCUUCUCCUAUUUUUAAUUACACCCUUCCUUUUAUACAGAUCUACUACCAACUAUCAAAAUAUUGUGGAUAUAAAAAGAGUUAUAAUUUAGAUCAUGAAUCCAUUUAAUAACCCCUUCAUAUAAAAGAUAUUUAUUUUCUAAUCUCUUAGGAAUACCUUAAAUAAAAUCCGGUCUUUCAACAUAAACACUCUCAAUUUUAAAUCUGAAUACAGGGAAAACAAUUGUACAAUUCUAAACAAUAUUUUUGUGCAUUGUCUCUGACAUAGCUGGUUAUCAUGGCGAUAAUGCCCUAAACACACUCGCGAUAAGAAUGAAAUAUUUCACUUCGAUACUCCUACUCCUUGUGGUGGUUUUGGCGGCCGCGGUGCUGCAACCUCCAGUGCUUGUACUUGGUUGGGGAGCUUUGAAGCCUGCUAAUGAGCAAUAAUUCCUGCUGAUUGAAGAUUUGUUCAUUCUUAUAUAUAAUAUAAUGAUAAAAAUUUUGUGAUUAAUUUAUCAUAUAAUAAUCAAUAAAUUUAUCAAACUUUUUUAAUAAAAAAAAAGAAGUAGA
This is a long non-coding RNA of Gordionus sp. m RMFG-2023, 739 nucleotides long. RefSeq lists it as uncharacterized. The record is from RefSeq and is a predicted model, not a curated record. The transcript has 5 exons. NCBI's taxonomy places the organism in Eukaryota, Metazoa, Nematomorpha, Gordioida, Chordodea, Parachordodidae.